CUGGAUGGGACACAUUCCUAUGUUCAUAUAUGACUACAGACCAGGGUAACUCCACAUAAUGUACAACCAAAAGACUGGGAUCUUAAUCAGAAUAAGUUACUCUCCAUGUAUGUAUAAUGUGUCAAAAUAUACUCUAGUGUCAUGGAACACACAGAAAUGCAAAUACUGAAAUUACUAGAAUUAUCAGGGCAAAAACAAGAGGGAAUUUUGGUGAUCUUGAGAGAGGAAAGAUGUCUUAGAAUUAUACUGAAGGUACAAUCAGGAAAAACUUUUAAAUUUUUUUUUUUAUUUUUUAUUUUAUUUUCUUGGUAUGGAGGAUUGAACCUAUGGGCACUUAACCACUGAUCCACAUACCCAGCUCUUCUUUAUAUUUUAUUUAGAGACAAAGAUGCUUCAGGCCUCCCUAAGUUGCCAAGGCUGGUUUUAAACUCACAAUCCUUCUGCGCCAGCCUCCUGAGCCACUGGAAUUACAGGCAUGAACCACUACACCAGCAAGAACAGAAAAUUUGAUAAAGAGUACCUCAUCAAAUUUAUAAGAAUUUUCUCUUCAAACACCAUAAAGAAUGUGAAAACAGUCUCUAGAUUUAAGCAUUCCAAAAUCUAUGCAUACAUCAAUAUAUCAUUAUUUUACUAAUGUUUUAAGUUAUAAUUAUACAAAUAAUUCUAAUGUGAAAAUAUUUUUAGAAAGAAGCUGCUGAACAGGAGACACUAUUUCACAUUAUAUAUUUGAUUAGUUUCUUUCUAGUGUGUAGAUUAUAGCGAACUCUAGUGAGUUCAUAAUUAAAUCAUGGUUGGCCAAUUAAAAAAUGAGUUCAGAAUUGUGAAACCCUGAAUAUGGCUGCUGGUUUGAUGGUGUUCCCUGAGGAUGAAGUUCAAAAUGGCAAUUGUCAACCUUCAGUCCCGAACAUCUGGAUGAUCCUACAGUAAGGCCACCCCUAUCCUGGAUCAGAACAGGGUUCCUGUAGUGGUAUUUUAACUCACCUGUUUUUCCAAAGGUUAUUGAUAUGCUCUGUGCAAAUACCCCCACCUCUGAAAUCUGGGGGAUCUUAGAGUAUGUCUCCACUUGCUGCUCAGGUGACACAAUCUGAGGCUAACAUGGACCCUAAGAACUCUGCAGCCAUGUGUUCCUGCAAGAGCCCGGAAGGGGGAGCCCUUCCCACUCACUUCACCCUUCUCCUGCAGGAUUUUUUAAUUGGAGGAGGAAUGAUGGGGUCUGACUCUUAUUUAUGCUUUCACUGCAAGUGAGGAUACAGAACCACUCCAAAGCUGUAAAGGAUAGAGUUAGCGUCAUGUUCAACUCUAGCAUUAACUAAUCAUAAAAAAAUAAAAGCCUCCCCCCCAAACCAGCAUAUUAGGAGUGAAAGCAUUGUCAGGAGGAGAGUAGACAUCUCUUUCCAUAAUCUUCCUGGAAUCCCAGAAGACACUGGCCAGUAUUCCUGGCUCCUCAGAGCUGGAGAUGCUGAUUGGAUCUCGGUGGGCCCCAGCUUCACCUGCUGCUGAGGAAGUGGGUGCACCUGGCCUUGUGUGAGGAGCCUCUUCCACUGACAGGGCUUUGGCCCGCAGGCCAGGAGACUGUAUGGGAGGCUGGGUCUCCAUGAGGCCUCCCUCAGAACCGUGUGCCAGUCCCCUCAUUCCCGCUGCCCAGUGUGAUCCAGCUAUUAUCACACAAAAGUGCACACAUGUGAGCCUGCCAUGUACAAAAGUGUCCCAAGCAUCACAAGGAACAAGUGAAAGAGGCCACAAAAUCAGUGAGCUUGGAGAAUCAGGAAGCCGGAGACUGAAGCCAUCCAGGUCAUUCUAACAUAGCCCAAGACAGAGGAGAGCCCCGGAAGGGCCUAGUCUUUAGCACAGUUCUCCUUUAUAGUUCGGGACUCAAGUGACCGCCCACCAGCAAACCCUGUGCUGUCCUUAUCCAGGGCCACACAGCCACAGGUACUGUUUGCUCCUCUUCUGUCCUCCUCUAGUGUUUUCCUUAAUGAUCUAGAAACCCAGAUGACGAGGAUGCUGAUCCCAGAGCACAGACUCUAGGUGGCAGAAUUUCCUUCUGCUGGGGAUCAUCUUUGUUUUGACCCAGAUCAACUGUGUUCCCAUCUGCCGUUUAUACUUUUCCCUACACCCAUGCCCACUGCACCUCAUCUUCUCAGGUAGACACACGUAGAGGAUCACAGCAUUGUCCCCUUCACACAGGAGGAAACUAAGCCUCUUGUGAGACCCACUCAUCACAGGGGCCAUUUGUGGGAAUCACUCUGAAUGACCCACACCUUCCAGUCCUGAAGCAAGAAGCUCCAAUCAAUCACUCGGGCAUUGCUACAGCUCAAGAAGUAAAAGGCAUGUCUUCAGAUGUAGAUGAGUCACCAAUGGGGUUGAGCGACACUCACCUGUUCUAUUGUAAUCCUACCCCUUUGCCCUGUUUGGGAUAAAAUGUUCCUUGGAAACUCCCUUUGUGUGUUCCCUUCUCUUGCUGUGCCUUUGGAUGUGGCCUCCCUAGAUGUCAGUCAACCUGCUGGCAGCAGACAACAGAAAGCUAGACUCAGCCCCCUGAAACCUGACCCCUUGCCUCAUUUGAAUGGCUUCUCCUCAAUAAAAGGGUUCAGCAUGUGUGUGUGUGUGUGUGUGUGUGUGUGUGUGUGUGUGUGUGUUCUCUCUCUCUCUCUCUCUUUCCAUGGACCCCUGAGGUCUGAGCUGCCAUCACAACACCCAAAGGAAAAGGUAUCUCUGUCUCUGUCUCUUGUGUGAUUAUUUCAUGCAGCUCAGUUCGCCUGGAGUGACCCUGAGUGUUUUAGUCAUGAGGAAUGCGACAAUUGGUUGCCCAUAUGGUGACUCCAGGGUGAGUUUUAAAAAUUCAGUUCAUUUGGAAUUUCUCUCCAGAAGUUAAGAGCGCUUAGGAUUGUAGAGUAUUGUGGACUGAAUUGUAGAAAGUAAGUAAAUUAGACAGAAGAAAAAUCUGUGAGGUUAAACUUUUUACUAUCUGGGAAUAUUUUGUCUUUAGAAAUUUUUUUUUUUUAUAAUUCUAGAGACUCUAAAUAAAUGUAAUGAGUUAUUAAGAUGAUUAGUGGGAUAUGUUGUUGAGUCCUCUCCCAUGGGGAAAGUGCUUUUGUGGACUUUUUUAGAUUGUUUGUAUGAAUCUUUAUGUUUUAAAAUAUUAGAUAAAGACUUUUUGGGUUAAUGUACUAGAAGUCAGCGCUUGGAGAGUGAGAAAACAGGGAAGGAAAAUGUUGUGAUGAGACUCAAUACAAGGAUUCUUUCCCCGUAGAGAAGUAAGUUUUAUUUUUCUCUUGUUUUUGUGAACUCUCGCUUUAUACUCCUAUGGGUCCGAUGGCUGCAACUUGGCCGCUGCUCCCUGUGGUGUCUGUAACUGGACUCACCCCCAGCACUGCUUAUGACCCUUAAGCGACCUGGCCUGGGUGCCUAAUGCAGACUGCCUUAAAAUCUGAUAGUAACUCUGGUGUCUGCCAUUAAAGCUCACUUUUAAAGUCCCACGUGCUGCCAGGGAAAGUACAAAGGCAGGAGGACACAAGCUGCAGGCACAGGUCGCCCGUGGGAUCCCGCCAAGGCCGGGGAAUACAGACAAACCAAAUGGAAUGCCACAGCCUAGGGCAGCCCUAGGGCAGCGGGCUCCAAGCUGUUUCCAUCACCAUGGUAACCGCCCAAGCCUGGCCGCAGAGCGGGCUUCCUGGUCCCGCCUCCUGCAUUUCAACGGGCUUCCCAUUGGUCCUUCCAACUGUCACUCAGACAGGACUUCUGGUUCCGCCUUCCAGCCACUAACCUGUACUUCCUGUUUCAGACCUGCUACCCAGAUAAAUGCCCAGAACCUGCAUUUUUAGGAACACCCACCUGUAAGUGCCAACAAAGUUCUUUUUCAGGCAAAAUCUAAUCCCACAGUUUCCUUCGUUCCUUGCAGCCCUAAGCCGGACUUGCUCUCAAGGCCAAAUAACUUGAUUUCUUACCCCUCAGCAGCUUCCCUUGGGACCCUUCCUUUUCCUUUCUAUGGUUAUGUUGCAAUGAUUCUGGGAUGACCCCAAAAUCCUUAUUCUUGUUCCUGACUGUAUAAUUACAAGAAAUAAGUAAAUGUAUACACAAGGAUCAUCAGCCACAUCACGUGACUUCACAGGCAAGCGUUCACUCCUAGUUAAAAACAAAUCGAAAUGGAUCCAACAUAUCUUAAGAACCACGUGGUUACAUAAAGUUAAACAAUUAUAUUGUAUUAAUUACAGGUUAUGUAUACUGUAUUAAUUAUCUACAGAAAAAUCCAAGGACUUUAACUAUAUUUUCAUCGAUAUUUCUUUCCUUUUUUUUAAAAUAUAUUUUUUAAAAUUGUUGAUGGACCUUUACUUUUUAAAUUUAUUUGUAUUUAGUGUUGAGAAUCGAACCCAGUGCCUCAUGCAUGCCUGGCAAGCGUGCUACCACCGGGCCCCAACUCCAGCCCUCAUUGAUAUUUCUUUUUAUCAAGGUACAAAGAUUCUAAGGUUUUCAGAAAUUAGUUCAAAGUAUAACCAGGAAAAAUUCUAAAAGGAAUUUCAACAGAGGAGAAGCACACAUUGGAGGUCCUAAGAAGAAAGAAAUCAUCUUUGGGAGCCAUCACAGAACCCAAAGAAAAAGGUCUCAGUGUCUCUUGUGUGGUUAUUUCGUGCAGCUCAGUUCCCCUGGAGUGACCCUGAGUGUUUUUGUGUGAGGAAGUGGCAGCCAGUGAUGCAGACAGGGUCCCUGUCCAGCUUUCUGAUUCUUCGAGCUGUCUCUAGUGUGAGCCUCACCCAGACCAUGGCGGCCCCCCUUCACUUUGAAACCAUCCAAAACAGGGGGCUGGCAGGACACUUCUCCUUACUUUUCUGACCAGGGGUGGGCAGGAGAGUUUCAAAUUUCAAAUCCCCCUCCCAGGGAGCACUUGGGAGGCUGUUGGCCUGGCCCUUCUGCCGGAGGAAGAGCCCACUCCAACCCCAAGCCCUUCGUGGCUAUCCUGACCAAGGGGACCUGGUCUCUAGCAGGGCUUCCCCAUCCCUCUGUGGUCUCCCCUUCCUGAUCAGGGUCUUGUUGGAAGCCAGAGCCCCAACCUGCAUUCACUCAGGCAGCCAGGAGGGAGAUCUGGGGCAACGUUGGGACUAGUUUGCUCAUUACAUUUCCUGAUCUGGGUCUCAGGUGCUGAUGAAAAGUGGGCCUGGGGGUUAGUCAUGCUGGGAUUGUCACUCUCUUGAAAGUGCCUCUGUGUAGAGCCCUCCAUCACCUUUGCAACCCAGGGAGCCUGGGACACUGUCCCCAGUCACAGACCUUCAUGUCCCGUCCCCCUUGCAAGAACAGCCUCCAGAACCCAGCCUCUUCAUGGGCAGAAGAUGUGGCGUGUCUGUCAUCUUGUCAUUGCCUCCCCUCCCAUUGUCCUCGUGGCACCCCACUCUUCUGUGCAGACACCAGGCCCUUCUUCAGGCCCCAAAGUAGCUUGUGAUUGAAGUUGACCCUGGAAUGUUCAUUUUGGUCAGAAUGUGAAAGAUGCUUCCAUAUCCACUCUCCACGGAGGCCCUGAGGGCAGGAGGAUCAUGAGGUCAGAGCCAGCCUCAGCAAAGACAGGUGCCAAGCUACUCAGGGAGACCCUGUCUCUAAAUAGAAGACAAAAUAGGGCUGGGAGGGGGCUCAGUGGUUGAGUGCCCCUGAGUUCAAUCCCUGGUACCCCACCUCUCCAAAAAACGGCCCCUUGUUCCUGCUGAUGAGAAGAACCAUGGCCUCUGAGACAGAAGCUCCCCUGCUUCUUUUUUUACUAACAAAGCAAUACAACAUUGUUUUUUCCCCCAAAGCUGUGUCCUGAUUAUUGGAUUGGCACUGGGGACAAGAAUGGAGUUUUCAGUAACUCCUUAACCUCAUGUUUCCAUCCCCCACAGCUGUUAUCUGUCACUAAAUAUUUGUGUUUGAAACAUUUUGCCUAAUUUUAGUAGAUGCUGUAGCACAGCCUCCUCCUCCUCUGUUUGCUGGUGCAGAUUCACAUCCUUUGUUUUCAAACUCUAUCCAUUACCAUGCAAGCAGGGACUCCUGUGGAUAGCAUAGAAUUGGACAUUGUUUUUAUUUUUUCUUAUGACCUCUACCUUUGUAUAAGAUUGCUUAGUCAAUUCACAUAUAAUGUCACUGUUGAUGUCGUUAUAUUUAUAUCUGCCUUUUUACAUUCUAUUUUCUUAUGUCUUUUUUGAGGGGGUGGGGACUGGGGAUUGAAAGCAGGGGCACUCAACCACUGAGCCACAUCCCCAGCCGUAUUUUGUAUUUUAUUUAGAGAAAGGAUCUCAUCAAAUUGCUUAUGACCUCAUCAUGGCUGAGGCUGGCUUUGAACUCAUGGUCCUCCUGCCUCAGCCUCACAAGCUGCUGGGAUUUGAAGUGUGCACCACCAUGGCUGACCCUUACAUCUUCUUUAUUCCUCUAUCCCUCUUCAUUGUGUGUGUGUUUUACUGAAGAUUGAGCCCAGGGGUGCUGUAACACUGAACUACAUCUCCAUUGCAGGUUUUAUUUUGAGACGGAGUGAAGCUAAAUUGCUGAGGCUGCUCUAGCUAGUUACUGAUUUAUUUAUUUUUCUUUGUUUGGUUUGUUUAGCUCUUUGUUAAUGAAGACUUCUGAAUUUUUUUUUUCCAGAAAAUUAACUCAUUAUAGAGCUGGGACCUCCUGAGAAACUGAGGCAGUGAAAAGAUCCCCUUGAACCCUUGAUUCUUGCAAUCGCAUCAGAAAGUUUUCAGACACAUCAUCCUGUAACAGACAUGAACUUCUUGAAGGGGAACGGGACAUUCUCAAGGAUGAGAGUGGGUCCUCUCAGAGAGCAGAGGGACACUGUGCCUCUUCUGCGCUCCAGUUUUAUUGGAGUCCCUGGGAAGUUUCCAGAGAGUCCUGCCCAGGUGCACCUUUUGACUUUUGACAGCAGGGUGACAUCAUAUUUUCAAAUCUGGACUGUCAUGGUAACUCUAUGUCACCUUGGCCCAUGAUGAGCCAAAUUGGAUACUUAUCCAAAGAAUUAUCCUUUCUUCCAAAAUUUGGUCUGUGAAAAGAGUCACAAAAUCUGUCCCUGCCUAGUAACUUGGGUUCCUCUUAGGGGGUUUCCUGCCUGCAUUUCUCAUGCAGAUCACAGGUAGUUUGCUGAGGAAUGUGACAUCUUCUGUCCACUUAGGCCAGGCAGAGUUGAAGUAAAUUGCUUUUUGGAAAAGAAUGCACAUGCAGGUCAGCACGGUGGGCCCCAUUUUACAGGAUUAUUCUCUUAACCUUCUGUUCCCACCAUUCUAGUGUGUGUCCUCUAAAAGACUAAGAGACACAGGUACAGAAAAAAGCACGGCUUUCGCUGAGAGUCUUUCAAGAUGGAACACCUGGGGGAGCAGGCAAGUUGCAGUCAGCAUUUUAUCCUCUGGUUCACAAGGUCCCCGCUUCCCACCCCAGUUCCUUGUUGGCAAAGUACUAUGGGGUGUACCAACUUCCAGAUCUUCACCUGGGCUUCCCACUGGGCGGUUUAAAGAAGUAUGCUCCUGGGCAGACUGGCACAUGUCUGAAAUCCCAGUGGCUGGGGUGGUUAAUGCAGGAAAAUUGCAAGUUUGAAGCCAGCCUACCAGCUUAGUAAGGCCCUAAGCAACUUAGCCAGACCCUGUGUAAAAGUAAAAAAGAGCUAGAAAUUUGGCUCAGUGGUUAGGCAGCCCUCAGUUAAAUCCCUGGUAUCAGAAACCCCACAUAGGGCUGGGGAGGUGGCUCAAGCCGUAGCGCGCUUGCCUGGCAUGCGUGCGGCCCGGGUUCGAUCCUCAACACCACAUACAGACAAAGAUGUUGUGUCAGCCAAUAACUAAAAAAUAAAUAUUAAAAAAUUCUCUCUCUCUCACUCUCAAAAAAAAAAAAAAAAGAAACCCCACAUAUUUGUAUAUAAAGCAAUACACCAUUAGUUGUCCCCACCUCCCUUUGUCCUUUUGUGCCAGGAAAGUCUUGUUGGAUUGAGUGCAUCUUGGACAUAGACCGUUUUUACUUUUCUACAUCAACACUGUUUCUUUCUCUCUUGGUCAGGGUGACCCCUCCCCUACCUCCUGUGUGUCCAGGGUGGUUCAGGUGCAUGGACUCGGGAUCUGCCACAUCCACAGUCUGGGGCUGUACGAGUAUCCAUUUUGCUCUACUUGCCCUCAGGCUGCCUUUCUUAUGUCUCAACUCUACAUUUAAGGCAACAUACUAUAUUCUGAAUAUAGAUCAGUGGACUUUUUAUUUCUCACACCAAGUACAUCUCAUCAGAAUAAGCGACACAUUCAUACUAACAACUCCAGCUAAAUAGAAAACCCUUAUCCUACCUAGCUCUCCAUCCUUCCACAUACAGUUGUAAGUCCUUUGCUACAUUCCAUUUUUGUAUGUUUAUUCUUAUACAUGUCAUAUCUCUAAAAUUACAAACUAAAUAGUGUCUGGCUGGAAAAGUUAUUGCAUCAGGAAAUUCUAAAUUCUAAGUCUUUUGAGGAAGUUAAAAGGAGACCAGUGAUCUAAUUAAGAAUUUUGUUCAUUAUUUUUAUUAUUUAUUUAUUUAUGGUGCUGGUGAUUGAACUCAGUGGCACUUGGCCACUGCACCACAUACCCAGCCAUGUUUGGUAUUUUAUUUAGAGUCAAGCUCUCAUCGAGUUGCUUAGCACCUCAUUUUUACUGAUGCUAGAUUUGAACGAGCAAUCCUCCUGUCUCAGCCUCCUGAGCCUCUGGGAUUACAGGCAUGAACAACCAUGCUUGGCCUAACCCUCUUAUUUGUCAAUUUCUUCACUUGAUUGAUAGUAGGUUGGAGUCACCAUCUGGAGUUAUUCUCUCAGGCCCAUUACAGUUAUGCUCACACCCACCUUCUUUGAACCACAAUAAAAGGGAUGCUCAGAGGCAAAGUG
Molecule: long non-coding RNA, 8840 nt
Organism: Marmota monax (woodchuck)
Lineage: Eukaryota; Metazoa; Chordata; Mammalia; Rodentia; Sciuridae
Exons: 2
Source: RefSeq, a predicted model, not a curated record